UUCUUUGGCAAACUGAGCAUCUUUGGAUGAGCUUGUGCCUGAAAUGUCUUCAUCGCUUAUAAAAGGACUCUUUGGAAAAGUUUCUUCAGGAGAGACAUCUACAAAAGCAUAUUUCUUAGGUUCCUUCUUUAUCUCUGAUUCAUCUUUGGCAUCGGUGACUGGAGUUGCUUCUACUUUUGUUUCAGGAACAUCUACAGUGAUUGUAGAUUGAGAUGCAACUGGAGGUGGUGAGGAAGAACCCAAGGAUCCUGAUGAUGUUGAGUAUGAAGGGGACGAAGCAGCGCCAGAUGUUGAUGGUGUUGGAUAUGAAGGUGAGCUACUAGGUCCUGACGCAGGAGGUAUUGGAGAUGGAAAAAAGGCAGGAUUAGUGAAUUGAUUAUUUUGUGUAUUCGUCUGGUUCAUCAUAGUUUUGAAAGCUUGCUGCAUGGCAUAUUUCUGAAAGAAAAGAUCAAAAUUUCAAAAACUUCAAAAGUAAUUCUGUAAUAUAACAUAGGUAUUUUGCAAAGAUGGACACACAAAGAUAUAACUGAACCACACACUGGAUAGGGCAAGAAUAACCAAGUCACAGGUAAGCCAAAAAUGUACAUUAAGGAACAAAGUACAAGGGAACAAAAAGGCAUACAAUUAUUUCAACAGGAAAGGGAAGCAUCAUGAUGGGACAUGGGUGAUCUAUUAAUUGUUGGAAAGUUUAUUCUAAAAGGUGCAUUUAAGAUCUGUCCCUAAAGAACUGAAUUAAAUGAGCUUGAUACCUGCUCACAGGACAACCUAACUUGCCAGAAGCUUCACUUAAUUCUGAAACAGAAAUGAAUCUAGUAUGAUAACUUCAAAUAUUUGAGAGGAAAAAAUGAGAACAAAACAUAAAAAUAAAAAAUAUACAAAUAAAAAAAUGUAUAAUUAACAAUGUUCAAAUAAAUUUCCAUCACCAAAAGAAGGCACGCAUCAAUUAUUUCAAGAUUGUAAAAUCAUGAUAUCAGAUGCCAAAAGAGUGAGUCACAAAAUUAAAUAUAAGGAAAAAAAAAACACCGCACGUUAACUAAAAAAGAUUUUGGAGGCUUCCCAGCAGCUUUAAAGCAUACUUUAAAAAGUACAUCUUUGAGUUUGCUCGUUCAAGAGUACCCUGGAUGAGGGAAUAAUUGAUUUUAAUUUUUGAAAUGCCCAAGUAACAAAGUGCCCUUUAUCAGAUGGAUGCAAACUUAAUUGGUUGUUGAUCAGAUGCUUUCAAGGCGUAUGUGAACAGUUUUAGGGUCAAGGAUUUGUAGAUAUUGAUACUUGACAUUAGCUAGGCUUAAUGUUUUGAAAGUAGAAUUUAAAGACUUAAUUUUUAAAAAAUGAAAUUUCAGCACAUAUUUGCUUGCAAAAUUAAUUAAAUGGUUCAAGAUAAAAAGUCAACACCUAGAAUUCCAUAGAGAAAACACCCAAGAUCUUGGAGCAUUACACUCAAUGUCUUAUCAGUACCAAAUAAUCACAAAGAGAACUAAAAGCUUUUGAUAUUUAUAGAAAAUUAAUCUUCAAUAUUAAAAAAGCUUACAUGUAUAUAUAGGGUUCUCUAGUAAUCCUAAGUACGCAUGGAUUUGGACACUUAAACUAAAAGUAAAAGUAUAAAUCUUA
This 1608-nucleotide unclassified non-coding RNA is filed under the name Hevea brasiliensis (rubber tree). The record is from RNAcentral. Lineage: Eukaryota; Viridiplantae; Streptophyta; Magnoliopsida; Malpighiales; Euphorbiaceae.